AUUGAACGCUGGCGGCAGGCUUAACACAUGCAAGUCGAGCGGUAGCACAAGAGAGCUUGCUCUCUAGGUGACGAGCGGCGGACGGGUGAGUAAUGUCUGGGAAACUGUCUGAUGGAGGGGGAUAACUACUGGAAACGGUAGCUAAUACCGCAUAACGUCGCAAGACCAAAGAGGGGGACCUUCUGGCCUCUUGCCAUCAGGUGUGCCCAGAUGGGAUUAGCUAGUUGGUGGGGUAAAGGCCCACCUAGGCGACGAUCCCUAGCUGGUCUGAGAGGAUGAUCAGCCACACUGGAACUGAGACACGGUCCAGACUCCUACGGGAGGCAGCAGUGGGGAAUAUUGGACAAUGGGCGCAAGCCUGAUCCAGCCAUGCCGCGUGUGUGAAGAAGGCCUUCGGGUUGUAAAGCACUUUUAGUGAGGAGGAAGGGCGUCAGGUUAAUACGCUGAUGAACUGACGUUACUCAAAGAAGAAGCACCGGCUAACUUCGUG
Molecule: ribosomal RNA, 490 nt
Filed under: uncultured bacterium
Lineage: Bacteria
Description: partial 16S ribosomal RNA
Rfam family: Bacterial small subunit ribosomal RNA
Source: RNAcentral